RNAcentral lists this ribosomal RNA (253 nucleotides) under uncultured bacterium. RNAcentral describes it as "partial 16S ribosomal RNA". It matches the Rfam family "Bacterial small subunit ribosomal RNA", at positions 524 to 776 of the family's 1533-position model. The record is from RNAcentral.
UACAGAGGGAGCGAGCGUUAAUCGGAAUUACUGGGCGUAAAGCGUGCGUAGGCGGUCGUGUAAGUCGGGUGUGAAAGCCCCGGGCUCAAUCUAGGAAUUGCAUUCGAGACUGCACGGCUGGAGUGCGGAAGAGGGAAGCGGAAUUUUCGGUGUAGCGGUGAAAUGCGUAGAUAUCGGAAGGAACAUCAGUGGCGAAAGCGGCUUCCUGGUCCAGCACUGACGCUCAGGCACGAAAGCGUGGGGAGCAAACAGG